UACGUAGGGGGCGAGCGUUGUCCGGAAUUAUUGGGCGUAAAGCGCAUGCAGGUGGUUUGUUAAGUCAGAUGUGAAAGCCCGGGGCUCAACCUCGGAAUAGCAUUUGAAACUGGCAGACUAGAGUACUGUAGAGGGGGGUAGAAUUUCAGGUGUAGCGGUGAAAUGCGUAGAGAUCUGAAGGAAUACCGGUGGCGAAGGCGGCCCCCUGGACAGAUACUGACACUCAGAUGCGAAAGCGUGGGGAGCAAACAGG
This 253-nucleotide ribosomal RNA is filed under the name uncultured bacterium. RNAcentral describes it as "partial 16S ribosomal RNA". It matches the Rfam family "Bacterial small subunit ribosomal RNA", at positions 524 to 776 of the family's 1533-position model. The record is from RNAcentral.